RNAcentral lists this ribosomal RNA (402 nucleotides) under uncultured bacterium. RNAcentral describes it as "bacterial SSU rRNA". It matches the Rfam family "Bacterial small subunit ribosomal RNA", at positions 76 to 507 of the family's 1533-position model. The record is from RNAcentral.
CUCUUCGGAGGGAGCGGCGGACGGGUUAGUAACGCGUGGGAAUGUACCCUUCUCUAAGGAAUAGCCAUUGGAAACGAUGAGUAAUACCUUAUACGCCCCCCGGGUCAAACUGGGGGGGAAAGAUUUAUCGGAGAGGGAUCAGCCCGCGUAAGAUUAGAUAGUUGGUGGGGUAAUGGCCUACCAAGUCUACGAUCUUUAGCUGGUUUUAGAGGAUGAUCAGCAACACUGGGACUGAGACACGGCCCAGACUCCUACGGGAGGCAGCAGUGGGGAAUCUUGGACAAUGGGCGCAAGCCUGAUCCAGCCAUGCCGCGUGAGUGAUGAAGGCCUUAGGGUCGUAAAGCUCUUUCGCCAGAGAUGAUAAUGACAGUAUCUGGUAAAGAAGUCCCGGCUAACUCCGUG